AUUGAACGCUGGCGGCAUGCCUUACACAUGCAAGUCGAACGGUAACGCGGGCAACCUGGCGACGAGUGGCGAACGGGUGAGUAAUACAUCGGAACGUGCCCAGUAGUGGGGGAUAGCCCGGCGAAAGCCGGAUUAAUACCGCAUACGACCUACGGGUGAAAGCAGGGGAUCGCAAGACCUUGCGCCAUUGGAGCGGCCGAUGUCAGAUUAGGUUGUUGGUGGGUAAAAGCCUACCAAGCCGACGAUCUGUAGCUGGUCUGAGAGGACGACCAGCCACACUGGGACUGAGACACGGCCCAGACUCCUACGGGAGGCAGCAGUGGGGAAUUUUGGACAAUGGGCGCAAGCCUGAUCCAGCCAUGCCGCGUGCGGGAAGAAGGCCUUCGGGUUGUAAACCGCUUUUGUCAGGGAAGAAACGCUCUGGGCUAAUACCCCGGGGUAAUGACGGUACCUGAAGAAUAAGCACCGGCUAACUACGUG
RNAcentral lists this ribosomal RNA (480 nucleotides) under uncultured bacterium. RNAcentral describes it as "bacterial SSU rRNA". It matches the Rfam family "Bacterial small subunit ribosomal RNA", at positions 29 to 507 of the family's 1533-position model. The record is from RNAcentral.